Molecule: long non-coding RNA, 3087 nt
Organism: Centrocercus urophasianus (Greater sage-grouse)
Lineage: Eukaryota; Metazoa; Chordata; Aves; Galliformes; Phasianidae
Exons: 3
Source: RefSeq, a predicted model, not a curated record
GAAAAGACUUUGAAACAGCCUAGUGAUAUUCUACUAUUUCUGGUGGAAGAAAGCAGGCAAGCCUACAGACUUUGCUGCAGGUACCCAGGCUUUAACAUGAGCUGACUCACCUUUCUGUCAGUGCCUGCUGUGACUCAGACCUGUGAAAAGAGAAAGUCAAAGAAAACUUGUUCAAUUUUUUUUUUGUCAAAGUAGGUUUUGUUGUUGUUGUUGUUUAAGAAAAUGCAGCUAUGUCAAAUUUUCAGCAAGUCUGUGAUGGAUUUCAUGUUCUUCUUCAUAAAGCAUUUGUGCAUACAGGAUGUGUGCUGCACAGCAUGUAAAACACAGCAGUACCCAACUAGCUGGAAAAAUGUUGGCUAUGAGAAGCAGCUUUCCUGUCCAGCUUGAAGCUCUGUGCUGUCAUCUGUCAUGGGAACAAAGCCUUGGAUGUGGGAGUAAGCCUGAGCGUCUGUGCAGCAGGCAGAGGGCAUUGCAGGGUUUCCAGAACCUGCAGCUCUGAAAUAACCUUGCUAAAGAAGCCGUUAAAAGCAGGAGCCAGUAACACUCCCAAAGCUUCCGCAGACCAUUUUUGGAGCCAGCAGGAAUCUUUGGGUCGCUGGAAAUCUUGGCUGUGCUGGGGGCUUUGACCCCUGGUAAUUUCAAGUUGAGUUUCAUUUUGGAAAGUGAGCUUCAGGUGAUUCUGAAGGUAAAUCCUUUUGGAAAUGUUCCUUUCCACGUAUACAUUUUAAGCUGACACUGAGUAUUUUCCUCCAAGAAUUUUCCUAAAGCGAAUAAAGUGAUUCCAAAGGUUGGUGAAAUGCUGCCAAAAACAUUUUUGAUGCUAUUUACUAUAUACAAAUGAGAAUACCUGCUGAAAGCUAAGACCAGGGACUAUCUAUCCAGUACUUUUUGAAAGGUUUUUCUUCAUUUCCAAUGCUCUGUGUCUCAAAACCACCACUGGGAAAGGCUGUUGAUGCUGCUCUGGAGGCAGUAACGUCCAUGCGUUGUGCAGGAAACUGAGCGCCAUGAGGAGCUGAGCCAGCCUGCUGGAGAAAGGACCCUGAACACACAGAAUGGUAUGAGGAAGAUUUGAGGUCUUUUGUGCCUUUAUUUGUUCAUUUCCUUUUCAAGCCUCAAUCUUCUCAGCAACUGCAACAAAGAAAAACCCUUUUAUGCUCAGAUGUUGACUUUCUGCCCUGGAAAAACCCUUCUUGACUUCUGCUUGCCACCCCAGCCUUGCCCCUCUCCUACUGGAGGAGGCUUGAUGGAAAACCUAGCAGGUGACAAGUGUACCCACAACCAGCGCCAAUCUGCAGAGUGCUUCUGCCAAUAUGCCAUGCCACUGAGAUCCAUUUGGAGGCCAUGCUUCUUGGGUGAGCCUUGUGCUGUCCUUUCAUUUAUGCUCCUUACUGUGUGUUUGCAUGGCCACUGCUCCCAAAUAACUCUGAAAAUUAAGUUUCCAACUCAAAUGAAUGGCUGACUGUACAUGGUCAUAUCAUCACAUCCUCCACAUUUUUUCAACAUCUGCAAAGAUUUGACCAUUACAUCCUUUAUACCUGAGGCACUGCAUCAGGAUGGAUCCUCCUUCGAGUUGCCAGAGCUACAGGGACUGCUUGUGAGUAGAUUGAAAGCCAUCUCUGAAUUGGAACACGACAGCUUUUAAGAAUGCACAACAGUAGCACAGAAUAAUUUGGUAGAGGAGGUUGGAAGAAAUGCUGCAUCCAGCUGACAUGGAGGGAACAGUCACAGAAAAUGGAAAACAGAGAGAAACUUACUUGAUGUACAGCCAAAACAAACAAACAAAACAACAGAAAGAGGUAGUGUGUUUUUUGCUGUUACGUUCUUCUCAACUCCCCAGUCAAGUUUUCCUGGCUUGCAAAGCAAACUAAAACACUAAUUUACAUAUGUAUAUUUUUCUCAACAGAUUUUGAACUUUUUUUGAGUCAGAACAAAUCAAGCCAGAGCAUUUAUCUGCUUCAUAAGUCGCAUUUAUAUGGGUGUCUGAAGGGCAGAUUAUGAAACACAGCAGUAGAAGUUUGCAGAAUCUUCUGGAGAACAUCAUGUCCAACUUCCCCACUCAAACAACAGUCAAUGAGAGCAAGUGGUUCAUCGCCUUUUCCUGCUUGUUUUUGAUGGUCUCCACAACAUUUCUGGGCAACCAGUGAAUAUUGGACAACUGUCACAGCUGGAGAAUGAUUUUUUCUUACACUGAAAGGGAUUUUUCUGUAUUUUGUAUUUUGGUUAGUGGCUGUUGCCCUUGCUGCUUUGCAUAAUGCCAAUGAGGAGUCUGGUUCUGAUCAAAGUCAGUAAGGAGACCAGUACCCGAAAUGCUCCAUGGUUUGAAGGAAGAAGACUGGGGUAAGCUGGAAAUCAUACCACAGGGCAAUGCACUUGUGAGAUUUGCCUUUCUCCCCUGCUGUCUGGAUGAACAUCCAUUCCGCUCUCUCUUGCAAAGCCUCAUGAGACCAGUCAAUGUCUGCUAUGCAUUAUUUUGAGUCAAAGCCUGUGGGAAGAGGUGAUGAUUUCUAUUAACAUAGCAGAUAUUGUGAGGGGAAAAAAAAAAAAAAAAAAAACUUUUUAGCCACAAACUUUUUACAGGACUGUUCCUGUAAAAGUAACUGAAAGAUUUUGCCUUACUACAUGUUGCAGCUGUUUAAUUAAUGCCUAACUCAUUCACUGUAAAAAAUCUAAAGUUUCUUCUUUUCAAGUAUAAAACGAGCACAUUUGUUUCUUGUAAGGAAGUAAAAAAGGUGUGUUCAAAUUAGAAUAAAAGCACCAACAGGUAGUUAAUGAAAAGAUAAUAUGCCAGUUCAUACAAUAUGUAAGUUCAGUAAGAGCUGAUUCACUUCAGUCUCACAUGCAAUCUGAGUUUUCCAGUGUAGAGUCAGUCCUUGUGAACAUAUAACCUUUUUUGCCUCUGGAGGCUGGAACUCACUAGAUGCUAGAUGGAUGGUAGAACUGCUUCUGUCUGACUGUUAUGAAAUGUAAGACAGAAGACAAUACAGAGCACUGACAUAUUUUUCUUUUCAUUUGACGUUGCCCAUAUGCCCCUGUUUGUUCCAGCUACAUGAAUUUAUUUCUUAGAAGUCUGGGUUAUGCUGGCUCAGU